UACGGAGGGUGCAAGCGUUAUCCGGAUUCACUGGGUUUAAAGGGUGCGUAGGUGGGUUUGUAAGUCAGUGGUGAAAUCUCCAAGCUUAACUUGGAAACUGCCGUUGAUACUAUAAAUCUUGAAUGUUGUGGAGGUGAGCGGAAUAUGUCAUGUAGCGGUGAAAUGCUUAGAUAUGACAUAGAACACCAAUUGCGAAGGCAGCUCACUACACAAAGAUUGACACUGAGGCACGAAAAGCGUGGGGAUCAAACAGG
Molecule: ribosomal RNA, 254 nt
Filed under: uncultured bacterium
Lineage: Bacteria
Description: partial 16S ribosomal RNA
Rfam family: Bacterial small subunit ribosomal RNA
Source: RNAcentral